UACAGAGGGUGCGAGCGUUGUCCGGAAUCACUGGGCGUAAAGGGCGCGUAGGUGGUGGCUUAAGCGUGCGGUGAAAGCUCGGGGCUCAACCCCGAGUCGGCCGUGCGAACUGGGCUCACUGGAGCAUAGUAGAGGCAGGUGGAAUUCCGGGUGUAGCGGUGGAAUGCGUAGAGAUCCGGAAGAACACCGGUGGCGAAGGCGGCCUGCUGGGCUAUGGCUGACACUGAGGCGCGACAGCGUGGGGAGCCAAACAGG
This 255-nucleotide ribosomal RNA is filed under the name uncultured bacterium. RNAcentral describes it as "partial 16S ribosomal RNA". It matches the Rfam family "Bacterial small subunit ribosomal RNA", at positions 524 to 776 of the family's 1533-position model. The record is from RNAcentral.